RNAcentral lists this ribosomal RNA (253 nucleotides) under uncultured bacterium. RNAcentral describes it as "partial 16S ribosomal RNA". It matches the Rfam family "Bacterial small subunit ribosomal RNA", at positions 524 to 776 of the family's 1533-position model. The record is from RNAcentral.
UACGGAGGGUGCAAGCGUUGCUCGGAAUUAUUGGGCGUAAAGGGUAGGUAGGUGGUCUCAUUUGUCUGGGGUGAAAUCCUUGAGCUUAACUCAAGAAGUGCCCCAGAAACGGUGAGACUAGAGUCCUGGAGAGGGUCGUGGAAUUCCCGGUGUAGCGGUGAAAUGCGUAGAGAUCGGGAGGAACACCAGAGGCGAAAGCGGCGACCUGGACAGGCACUGACACUCAACUACGAAAGCGUGGGGAGCAAACAGG